Molecule: ribosomal RNA, 492 nt
Filed under: uncultured bacterium
Lineage: Bacteria
Description: partial 16S ribosomal RNA
Rfam family: Bacterial small subunit ribosomal RNA
Source: RNAcentral
AGUGAACGCUGGCGGUAGGCCUAACACAUGCAAGUCGAACGGCAGCACAGUAAGAGCUUGCUCUUACGGGUGGCGAGUGGCGGACGGGUGAGGAAUACAUCGGAAUCUACUUUUUCGUGGGGGAUAACGUAGGGAAACUUACGCUAAUACCGCAUACGACCUACGGGUGAAAGCAGGGGAUCUUCGGACCUUGCGCGAUUGAAUGAGCCGAUGUCGGAUUAGCUAGUUGGCGGGGUAAAGGCCCACCAAGGCGACGAUCCGUAGCUGGUCUGAGAGGAUGAUCAGCCAAAACGGAAAUGAGAAACGGUCCAGACUCCUACGGGAGGCAGCAGUGGGGAAUAUUGGACAAUGGGCGCAAGCCUGAUCCAGCCAUACCGCGUGGGUGAAGAAGGCCUUCGGGUUGUAAAGCCCUUUUGUUGGGAAAGAAAAGCAGCAGGUUAAUACCCCGCUGUUCUGACGGUACCCAAAGAAUAAGCACCGGCUAACUUCGUG